AUUGAACGCUGGCGGCAUGCCUUACACAUGCAAGUCGAACGGCAGCGCGGGGCAACCUGGCGGCGAGUGGCGAACGGGUGAGUAAUAUAUCGGAACGUGCCCUGGAGUGGGGAUAACGUAGCGAAAGUUACGCUAAUACCGCAUACGAUCCAAGGAUGAAAGCAGGGGACCUUCGGGCCUUGUGCUCCUGGAGCGGCCGAUAUCUGAUUAGCUAGUUGGUGGGGUAAAAAGCCUACCAAGGCGAUGAUCAGUAGCUGGUCUGAGAGGACGACCAGCCACACUGGAACUGAGACACGGUCCAGACUCCUACGGGAGGCAGCAGUGGGGAAUUCUGGACAAUGGGGGCAACCCUGAUCCAGCAAUGCCGCGUGUGUGAAGAAGGCCU
This 385-nucleotide ribosomal RNA is filed under the name uncultured bacterium. RNAcentral's name for it is "bacterial SSU rRNA". It matches the Rfam family "Bacterial small subunit ribosomal RNA", at positions 30 to 417 of the family's 1533-position model. The record is from RNAcentral.